RNAcentral lists this long non-coding RNA (857 nucleotides) under Cotesia glomerata. Its description in RNAcentral is "uncharacterized LOC123265675, transcript variant X1". Lineage: Eukaryota; Metazoa; Arthropoda; Insecta; Hymenoptera; Braconidae. The record is from RNAcentral.
CAUUACUGUAAAAAAAUCUGAAUUUUUUCUUUCUUUACAGGGCUGAUAUAUAGAUAGCUACCAUACACCGAUUACUUGAGUUCCUCCAGUGGUUGUCUGCCCUUUCUCCAGACUAGAUCAUCUUAUUUACUUUCAACUUAUUGAAACUUCUACUGCCUGCUUAGAAUAAUUUUCUACCAAUCGUCUGAAUCUCAAGCUCACUAACGGUACCGCCCAUCGAAACUUAAAGAUUCUUAUGUUUAUUAAACUCCGUUUUACGUUAAUGAUUAAAAAUCAUUAAUCAUAUAGAUAAGAAUUACUAGAAAUCAAUUAUAUACGAAUUUAUAUCAGAAAAUGACGCGCUAAAAGUUAAAAUCAAUAAGAAAAAAACGUUAGUUAGAGUGAUUUAUGUGACUCAAGCAGAAUAAAAUUUUCUACUCUGAUAAAAUGAUUGAUAAGAUAAAAAUAGAACGAAAAUAAUUGAUACAUCAAUCAAUUUAUAAAAGUAUAUUUAUAUUUAUUAACGCAUUAUAGUAAUCUACUGUUAAUAUUAAUUGACAGAAAUAGUCUAGAAGCGACGUUUGGUCUGGUCUUUCUAGUUAUUUAAAAACUUUAUUUUAAAAGUAUUACGUACGCUCAUACCAAAGCCGAUAUAUACGAAUUCCUUAUAGGCGGUUUGAUAAAUAAUUCAUGGCGUUCUACGAAAUAUCAGUGAAAUUCAAAAAAAUAUUUUGCUAUUCAAGAAGAUAACAGCAAUAAAAGCAUGUAAUCGUGAAAAACAUUCUAAAAAUAAAUCUUCAAUGUUAUUAUUUAAGAAUUUAACUCAUACUUUGAAUAGUAGGCUGGAUAAAAAUAGAUACAUUUAUUUUUAAAAUUCA